RNAcentral lists this long non-coding RNA (289 nucleotides) under Malus domestica (apple). RNAcentral describes it as "long non-coding RNA (MDOM_LNC016779)". Lineage: Eukaryota; Viridiplantae; Streptophyta; Magnoliopsida; Rosales; Rosaceae. The record is from RNAcentral.
AAUUGUUAAAUGCAUGCUAUAGAUGUUAUUCAAAUGAACAUGUUUUCACAAAAUCAUCCUUCAUUCAGUUGAUAAGCGAGAGAUGCUUUGAACAUCUCUUCGUAGGCCUUCCACCAUGAUGGGCUUCAAUCGUUUGUGACUCAUACACCGUAUUCGUCCAGUUCUGGGGUAUGCAAAGUAUGUGCUUACAUUCAGGAGAAGCCUAUAAACAUAUGAUGAAGUGAAGGUAGGAAACGAGUAUGGUCAAUAUGAUAUUCUUCUGAGGCCAUUCUUGAACCCCUACUUGAAC